GAUGAACGCUAGCUACAGGCUUAACACAUGCAAGUCGAGGGGCAUCAGGAAGAAAGCUUGCUUUCUUUGCUGGCGACCGGCGCACGGGUGAGUAACACGUAUCCAACCUGCCCUUUACUCGGGGAUAGCCUUUCGAAAGAAAGAUUAAUACCCGGUAGCAUAAUGAUUUCGCAUGGUUUCAUUAUUAAAGGAUUCCGGUAAAGGAUGGGGAUGCGUUCCAUUAGGUUGUUGGUGAGGUAACGGCUCACCAAGCCUUCGAUGGAUAGGGGUUCUGAGAGGAAGGUCCCCCACAUUGGAACUGAGACACGGUCCAA
RNAcentral lists this ribosomal RNA (314 nucleotides) under uncultured bacterium. RNAcentral's name for it is "bacterial SSU rRNA". It matches the Rfam family "Bacterial small subunit ribosomal RNA", at positions 28 to 334 of the family's 1533-position model. The record is from RNAcentral.